GGCUCCGUAGUUCAAUGGAUAGAACGAUCGCCUCCUAAGCGAUAGAUACAGGUUCGACUCCUGUCGGGGCUACCA
RNAcentral lists this transfer RNA (75 nucleotides) under Pseudomonadales bacterium. Its description in RNAcentral is "tRNA-Arg". It matches the Rfam family "tRNA". From Rfam's summary of the family: Transfer RNA (tRNA) molecules are approximately 80 nucleotides in length. Their secondary structure includes four short double-helical elements and three loops (D, anti-codon, and T loops). Further hydrogen bonds mediate the characteristic L-shaped molecular structure. tRNAs have two regions of fundamental functional importance: the anti-codon, which is responsible for specific mRNA codon recognition, and the 3' end, to which the tRNAs corresponding amino acid is attached (by aminoacyl-tRNA synthetases). tRNAs cope with the degeneracy of the genetic code in two manners: having more than one tRNA (with a specific anti-codon) for a particular amino acid; and 'wobble' base-pairing, i.e. permitting non-standard base-pairing at the 3rd anti-codon position. Lineage: Bacteria; Pseudomonadati; Pseudomonadota; Gammaproteobacteria; Pseudomonadales. The record is from RNAcentral. RNAcentral also lists the same sequence under 5 other names.